This 276-nucleotide unclassified non-coding RNA is filed under the name Hevea brasiliensis (rubber tree). Lineage: Eukaryota; Viridiplantae; Streptophyta; Magnoliopsida; Malpighiales; Euphorbiaceae. The record is from RNAcentral.
UAUAUAUAUAUAUAUAUAUAUCCUUUGUGUUCAUAUAUAAAUCCUGGAACUUCUGUAACUACGAAAGCAAGUAUAGCUCUGUUGGUUUCUAUAAUGUGAAAUUGUGGGCGAGAUAUUGUGAUUUUAAUUAUGUAAGUGUGGUGUUCCAUAAUAUUAAAUAAAAAGGAAGCUCUAUCUAUUGAUGUUUCCUACUAAAUAUAAUAAUUUCCAUUCUUUUUCUAUGAGAUUUAGUUCUAUGAAAGUAAUUUCAAAAGAAGUUUUUAUAUUUUAAAGAAG